RNAcentral lists this ribosomal RNA (253 nucleotides) under uncultured bacterium. RNAcentral describes it as "partial 16S ribosomal RNA". It matches the Rfam family "Bacterial small subunit ribosomal RNA", at positions 524 to 776 of the family's 1533-position model. The record is from RNAcentral.
UACGGGGGGUGCAAGCGUUGUUCGGAAUUAUUGGGCGUAAAGAGCGUGUAGGCGGCCGGAUAUGUCAGAUGUGAAAUCCCUGGGCUUAACCCAGGAAGUGCAUUUGAAACUGUCCGGCUUGAGUAGGGGAGAGGGAAGUGGAAUUCCUGGUGUAGAGGUGAAAUUCGUAGAUAUCAGGAGGAACACCGGUGGCGAAGGCGACUUCCUGGCCCUAUACUGACGCUGAGACGCGAGAGCAAGGGGAGCAAACGGG